GCGGACAGAUGGGAACUUGCUCCCUGAUGUUUUCGGCGGAGAGGUGAGUAUCACGUGGGUAACCUGCCUGUAAGACUGGGAUAACUCCUCGGAAACCGGGGCUAAUACCGGAUGGUUGUUUGAACCGCACGGUUCACACAUAAGAAGUGGCUUCGGCUACCCCUUACUGAUGGACCCCCGGCCCAAUAACUAGUUUGUGAGGUAACGGCUCACCCAGGGCACCAUUCCUAACCCACCUGAAAGGGUGAUCGGCCCCCCUGGGACUGAAAACCGGGCCAAAACCCCACCGGAGGGCACAAUUGGGAAUCUUCCCCAAUGGACCAAAGUCUGACGGAACAACCCCCCGGGAGUGAUUAAAGUUUUCCGAUCCUAAAACUCUUUUGUUAAGGAAAAACAAAUGGCGUUCAUAUAUGGCCGCACCUUGACGGUACCUAACCAGAAAGCCACGGCUAACUACGUGCCAGCAGCCGCGGUAAUACGUAGGUGGCAAGCGUUGUCCGGAAUUAUUGGGCGUAAAGGGCUCGCAGGCGGUUUCUUAAGUCUGAUGUGAAAGCCCCCGGCUCAACCGUGGAGGGUCAUUGGAAACUGGAGAACUUGAGUGCAGAAGAGGAGAGUGGAAUUCCACGUGUAGCGGUGAAAUGCGUAGAGAUGUGGAGGAACACCAUUGGCGAAGGCGACUUUCUGGUCUGUAACUGACGCUUAUGAGCGAAAGCGUGGGGAUCAAACAGGAUUAAUACCCUUGGUAUUCCACGCCCUAACGAUAAGUGCUAAAUGUUGGGGGUUUCCGCCCCUUAUUGCUGCAGCUAAUGCAUUAAGCCU
Molecule: ribosomal RNA, 819 nt
Filed under: Bacillus subtilis
Lineage: Bacteria; Bacillati; Bacillota; Bacilli; Caryophanales; Bacillaceae
Description: bacterial SSU rRNA
Rfam family: Bacterial small subunit ribosomal RNA
Source: RNAcentral